Molecule: ribosomal RNA, 633 nt
Filed under: uncultured Prevotella sp.
Lineage: Bacteria; Pseudomonadati; Bacteroidota; Bacteroidia; Bacteroidales; Prevotellaceae
Description: partial 16S ribosomal RNA
Source: RNAcentral
UCCCCAGGUGGGAUGCUUAAUGCUUUCGCUUGGUCACCAGGCUGAAACAGCCUGACAACGGGCAUCCAUCGUUUACCGUGCGGACUACCAGGGUAUCUAAUCCUGUUCGAUACCCGCACUUUCGAGCUUCAGCGUCAGUUGUGCUCCCGCAAGCUGCCUUCGCAAUCGGAGUUCUUCGUCAUAUCUAAGCAUUUCACCGCUACACGACGAAUUCCGCCUGCGUUGUGCACACUCAAGUGGACCAGUUCGCGCUGCAGUGCAGACGUUGAGCACCUGCAUUUCACAACACGCUUAAUCCACGGCCUACGCUCCCUUUAAACCCAAUAAAUCCGGAUAACGCCCGGACCUUCCGUAUUACCGCGGCUGCUGGCACGGAAUUAGCCGGUCCUUAUUCAUGCGGUACCUGCAAUGAAGGACACGUCCCUCACUUUAUCCCCGCAUAAAAGCAGUUUACAACCCAUAGGGCCGUCAUCCUGCACGCUACUUGGCUGGUUCAGGCUCUCGCCCAUUGACCAAUAUUCCUCACUGCUGCCUCCCGUAGGAGUUUGGACCGUGUCUCAGUUCCAAUGUGGGGGACCUUCCUCUCAGAACCCCUACUGAUCGUCGCCUUGGUGGGCCGUUACCCCGCCAACC